This is an RNA transcript of Panicum virgatum (switchgrass), 1811 nucleotides long. It is a transcript of the gene named chaperone protein dnaJ 49-like, with no coding region annotated. The record is from RefSeq and is a predicted model, not a curated record. Lineage: Eukaryota; Viridiplantae; Streptophyta; Magnoliopsida; Poales; Poaceae. The transcript has 3 exons.
CUACCGAAGUCAAGGGCGUGAGAUAUGGAAAAGCUGAGGGGCUCAGCCGAAAAGUGCAGCCCCAUCGCCGUGCCGUCUCCGACAUCUUCCUUCACCUCUCCGGUGGUGGCUGCCUGGUCUUCCUCGCGUAGCCUCUCUCUCUCUCUUCCGGUAAUAAUUAGGUGGGCAUUUUCAUCAAUUUUAUCCAGAGCUGAUUGGGCUCAUGGAUGGGAACAAGGAUGAAGCCUUGAGAUCUAUCAAGCUUGCAAAAUCUGCAUUCACAUCUGGGGAUAGGCAGCGUGCAGAAAAAUUAGUCAGAAUUGCUCAAAGAUUGGACCCUAGUGUUCCACUUGAUUUGUUGAGCCCAGCUGAGAAGUCUGACAUCCUGAACGGUGCUACUUGCCACGGCAAAACAGGAAGAGGCCAAGCUUGUGAAAACCCCAAAACACCAAAAGAAUCAGUUGGUCAUGUUAAUGCUGAUCAGGUCUACACUGAGGAGAAUAUUAGAGUGGUUCAAGAUAUCAGGAAAAAGAAGGAUUAUUAUGCAGUUCUUGGAGUAGAGAGGAGAUGCUCUGUGGAGGAAAUUAGGAAGGCCUACAGGAGAUUAUCACUGAAGGUUCAUCCUGACAAGAAUAAGGCUCCUGGGGCAGAGGAUGCGUUCAAGUUAGUAAGCAAGGCGUUCAAGUGCCUAAGCAAUGAUCAGUCGCGGAAGACUUAUGACCAGACAGGAACCAUUGAGGACCAUGAGUUUAAUGAGCAAUAUCCCAAUGCCAUGAGGCGGGGAAUGGCCAGGCGGAGGACGCAAGCAAGAAGUGGCUUCUAUAACUACGAAGAAGAUUUUGAUCCAGAUGAGAUAUUCAGGUCCUUCUUUUAUGGCACCCAUGAUAAUUUGUUUCGUGCCCAGAAUACCUACAGAGCAAGGGGAACAGUUAGGCAACAGCAACAGAGAAGGGAGCAUACAGUCCAGGGUGGUUCUGGCAUAAACCUAACAGUGUUAAUGCACCUUGCAGUAGUAUUGAUUAUUGUUUCACUUGCAUUCAUUCCAGUGCAGAGGCCUGAGUAUUCCCUGCAGAAGACAUAUUACUUCCCCAUAUCAAAGGUCACUCAAAAGCAUGGGGUGGAAUACUUUGUCAGCAAACAAGAUUUUGAUCAGAAGUUUCCACAGGGGAGUCAAUCUAGAGAGAUUCUUGAGCAGUAUGUUUUUAAGGACUAUAAGAAUCUGCUUGGAAGAUAUUGCCAUGUGGAACGUCAACGGCGUCAAUGGGCUAAGGACUACCCUACCCCUAACUGUGACAGGCUAAGGAACCUAUCUGUAGCGUAAAUUGUGCAUAUGUGAUUAGUUUGGUCUCUCAUUUUCAUUCUUGGAAGAAUAUCACUCGUCUUCACAGGCGUAGCACGGCAAUCUUUUUGAUAAAAAAGGAGCUGUAUGGUUUCUAGUCCAUCUGUUUGUGAGACGACACAAAGCCGAUACCUGGAAAAUGGUGCUACAUGUUCUUAUAAUAAUUUUCUACUGCUAUAUGUUCGUGCGAUUUACACGAGUCGUGAAGCAGUAAGCCAGGGCAUACAUGCCUUCUUCAGUACAUGGAGAGAUACGGUGGCAGGCGAUCAGCUGAUUGAAGUUCCGCUGUGCGUGUGUUCCUGCUGAUGAUGCAGCCCAAAAUAUUCGUCUGAAUCAGUUACCGCCUGGCACUUGCCUCCAGAUGCUGAACUUUCCAAUGGAUGUGAAUUCUUGUCCAGAUAUCUGUGAUUGGAAAACCACCAUCAUGGGUGCCUCCACUUAACAGUAGAGCAAACCCUUUUAAAGGCAAAUGGAAACGUGGAAUACUUAUCUC